GGGGCAGUAUGCAGUUUUGGUCAUUUCUUCGCUUUUUGCUCGCAGGUUUCUCUAUAGAGCUCCCCCUACAGCUUCAGAAUAGAUAUUUGACAGCUCCUGUGUUUACUUGUGUCCGACCCCUCCCUCGGUCAGUCUGCUGUUUCCUCUUUCUGUUCCUCCAACAAUGCUUUCCGAGC
Etheostoma spectabile (orangethroat darter) is the source of this 176-nucleotide long non-coding RNA. RefSeq lists it as uncharacterized. The record is from RefSeq and is a predicted model, not a curated record. The transcript has 3 exons. NCBI's taxonomy places the organism in Eukaryota, Metazoa, Chordata, Actinopteri, Perciformes, Percidae.